GCGCCCGUAGCUCAACGGAUAGAGCAUCUGACUACGGAUCAGAAGGUUGGGGGUUCGAGUCCCUUCGGGCGCG
This 73-nucleotide transfer RNA is filed under the name Asanoa sp. RNAcentral describes it as "tRNA-Arg". It matches the Rfam family "tRNA". From Rfam's summary of the family: Transfer RNA (tRNA) molecules are approximately 80 nucleotides in length. Their secondary structure includes four short double-helical elements and three loops (D, anti-codon, and T loops). RNAcentral also lists the same sequence under 7 other names. Lineage: Bacteria; Bacillati; Actinomycetota; Actinomycetes; Micromonosporales; Micromonosporaceae. The record is from RNAcentral.